This 132-nucleotide small RNA is filed under the name Salmonella enterica. Its description in RNAcentral is "RtT sRNA". It matches the Rfam family "RtT RNA". Rfam says of the family: This family represents a bacterial cis-regulatory element known as RtT RNA. The exact function of RtT is unknown although it is thought that it may be involved in changing the cellular response in relation to amino acid starvation. RNAcentral also lists the same sequence under 2 other names. Lineage: Bacteria; Pseudomonadati; Pseudomonadota; Gammaproteobacteria; Enterobacterales; Enterobacteriaceae. The record is from RNAcentral.
UAUCUCUCCGUACGGGGAAGGAUGAGAAGCUUCGACUAAGGUUCGAUUCGAGCGAAAGCGAGAAAGCGUUGCCAACGGCAACGACCCGAAGGGCGAAGCGCGCAGCGCUGAGUAAUCCUUCCCCCGCCACCA